Molecule: long non-coding RNA, 3369 nt
Organism: Oncorhynchus keta (chum salmon)
Lineage: Eukaryota; Metazoa; Chordata; Actinopteri; Salmoniformes; Salmonidae
Exons: 4
Source: RefSeq, a predicted model, not a curated record
AGGACACCUAAAUACACGUCACACAAGUUACAGAGACACCUAAAUACACAUCACACAGGUUACAGAGAGACACCUAAAUACACAUCACACAGGUUACAGAGAGACACCUAAAUACACAUCACACAGGUUACAGAGAGACACCUAAAUACACAUCACACAGGUUACAGAGAGACACCUAAAUACACAUCACACAGGUUACAGAGAGACACCUAAAUACACAUCACACAGGUUACAGAGAGACACCUAAAUACACGUCACACAGGUUACAGAGAGACACCUAAAUACACGUCACACAGGUUACAGAGAGACACCUAAAUACACGUCACACAGGUUACAGAGAGACACCUAAAUACACAUCACACAGGUUACAGAGACACCUAAAUACACGUCACACAGGUUACAGAGAGACACCUAAAUACACGUCACACAGGUUACAGAGAGACACCUAAAUACACAUCACACAGGUUACAGAGAGACACCUAAAUACACAUCACACAGGUUACAGAGAGACACCUAAAUACACGUCACACAGGUUACAGAGAGACACCUAAAUACACAUCACACAGGUUACAGAGAGACACCUAAAUACACGUCACACAGGUUACAGAGAGACACCUAAAUACACAUCACACAGGUUACAGAGACACCUAAAUACACGUCACACAGGUUACAGAGAGACACCUAAAUACACAUCACACAGGUUACAGAGAGACACCUAAAUACACAUCACACAGGUUACAGAGAGACACCUAAAUACACAUCACACAGGUUACAGAGAGACACCUAAAUACACGUCACACAGGUUACAGAGAGACACCUAAAUACACGUCACACUGGUUACAGAGAGACACCUAAAUACACAUCACACAGGUUACAGAGACACCUAAAUACACGUCACACAGGUUACAGAGAGACACCUAAAUACACAUCACACAGGUUACAGAGAGACACCUAAAUACACAUCACACAGGUUACAGAGAGACACCUAAAUACACAUCACACAGGUUACAGAGAGACACCUAAAUACACAUCACACAGGUUACAGAGAGACACCUAAAUACACAUCACACAGGUUACAGAGAGACACCUAAAUACACAUCACACAGGUUACAGAGAGACACCUAAAUACACAUCACACAGGUUACAGAGAGACACCUAAAUACACGUCACACAGGUUACAGAGAGACACCUAAAUACACAUCACACAGGUUACAGAGAGACACCUAAAUACACAUCACACAGGUUACAGAGAGACACCUAAAUACACGUCACACAGGUUACAGAGACACCUAAAUACACGUCACACAGGUUACAGAGAGACACCUAAAUACACAUCACACAGGUUACAGAGAGACACCUAAAUACACGUCACACAGGUUACAGAGACACCUAAAUACACGUCACACAGGUUACAGAGAGACACCUAAAUACACAUCACACAGGUUACAGAGAGACACCUAAAUACACGUCACACAGGUUACAGAGAGACACCUAAAUACACGUCACACAGGUUACAGAGAGACACCUAAAUACACAUCACACAGGUUACAGAGACAACUAAAUACACGUCACACAGGUUACAGAGAGACACCUAAAUACACAUCACACAGGUUACAGAGACACACCUAAAUACACAUCACACAGGUUACAGAGAGACACCUAAAUACACGUCACACAGGUUACAGAGAGACACCUAAAUACACAUCACACAGGUUACAGAGAGACACCUAAAUACACGUCACACAGGUUACAGAGAGACACCUAAAUACACGUCACACAGGUUACAGAGAGACACCUAAAUACACGUCACACAGGUUACAGAGAGACACCUAAAUACACGUCACACAGGUUACAGAGAGACACCUAAAUACACAUCACACAGGUUACAGAGACACACCUAAAUACACAUCACACAGGUUACAGAGAGACACCUAAAUACACGUCACACAGGUUACAGAGAGACACCUAAAUACACGUCACACAGGUUACAGAGACACCUAAAUACACGUCACACAGGUUACAGAGACACACCUAAAUACACGUCACACAGGUUACAGAGAGACACCUAAAUACACGUCACACAGGUUACAGAGAGACACCUAAAUACACGUCACACAGGUUACAGAGAGACACCUAAAUACACGUCACACAGGUUACAGAGACACCUAAAUACACAUCACACAGGUUACAGAGAGACACCUAAAUACACAUCACACAGGUUACAGAGAGACACCUAAAUACACGUCACACAGGUUACAGAGAGACACCUAAAUACACGUCACACAGGUUACAGACACACCUAAAUACACAUCACACAGGUUACAGAGGGACACCUAAAUACACGUCACACAGGUUACAGAGAGACACCUAAAUACACGUCACACAGGUUACAGAGACACCUAAAUACACAUCACACAGGUUACAGAGAGACACCUAAAUACACAUCACACAGGUUACAGAGAGACACCUAAAUACACGUCACACAGGUUACAGAGACACACCUAAAUACACGUCACACAGGUUACAGAGAGACACCUAAAUACACGUCACACAGGUUACAGAGACACCUAAAUACACAUCACACAGGUUACAGAGAGACACCUAAAUACACGUCACACAGGUUACAGAGAGACACCUAAAUACACGUCACACAGGUUACAGAGAGACACCUAAAUACACGUCACACAGGUUACAGAGAGACACCUAAAUACACAUCACACAGGUUACAGAGACACCUAAAUACACGUCACACAGGUUACAGAGACACCUAAAUACACGUCACACAGGUUACAGAGACACCUAAAUACACGUCACACAGGUUACAGAGAGACACCUAAAUACACGUCACACAGGUUACAGAGAGACACCUAAAUACACGUCACACAGGUUACAGAGACACCUAAAUACACGUCACACAGGUUACAGAGAGACACCUAAAUACACGUCACACAGGUUACAGAGACACCUAAAUACACGUCACACAGGUUACAGAGAGACACCUAAAUACACGUCACACAGGUUACAGAGACACCUAAAUACACGUCACACAGGUUACAGAGAGACACCUAAAUACACGUCACACAGGUUACAGAGAGAAACCUAAAUACACGUCACACAGGUUACAGAGAGACACCUAAAUACACGUCACACAGGUUACAGAGAGAAACCUAAAUACACGUCACACAGGUUACAGAGAGACACCUAAAUACACAUCACACAGGUUACAGAGAGAAACCUAAAUACACGUCACACAGGUUACAGAGAGACACCUAAAUACACGUCACACAGGUUACAGAGAGACACCUAAAUACACGUCACACAGGUUACAGAGAGACACCUAAAUACACAUCACACAGGUUACAGAGAGAC